GACGAACGCUGGCGGCGUGCCUAAUACAUGCAAGUUGAGCGAUGAAGAUUGGUGCUUGCACCAAUUUGAAGAGCAGCGAACGGGUGAGUAACGCGUGGGGAAUCUGCCUUUGAGCGGGGGACAACAUUUGGAAACGAAUGCUAAUACCGCAUAACAACUUUAAACAUAAGUUUUAAGUUUGAAAGAUGCAAUUGCAUCACUCAAAGAUGAUCCCGCGUUGUAUUAGCUAGUUGGCGAGGUAAAGGCUCACCAAGGCGAUGAUACAUAGCCGACCUGAGAGGGUGAUCGGCCACAUUGGGACUGAGACACGGCCCAAACUCCUACGGGAGGCAGCAGUAGGGAAGCUUCGGCAAUGGACGAAAGUCUGACCGAGCAACGCCGCGUGAGUGAAGAAGGUUGUCGGAUCGUAAAACUCUGUUGGUAGAGAAGAACGUUGGUGAGAGUGGAAAGCUCAUCAAGUGACGGUAACUACCCAGAAAGGGACGGCUAACUACGUG
RNAcentral lists this ribosomal RNA (497 nucleotides) under uncultured bacterium. RNAcentral describes it as "partial 16S ribosomal RNA". It matches the Rfam family "Bacterial small subunit ribosomal RNA", at positions 28 to 507 of the family's 1533-position model. The record is from RNAcentral.